Molecule: ribosomal RNA, 200 nt
Filed under: uncultured bacterium
Lineage: Bacteria
Description: partial 16S ribosomal RNA
Rfam family: Bacterial small subunit ribosomal RNA
Source: RNAcentral
UACGUAGGAUGCAAGCGUUGUCCGGAAUUAUUGGGCGUAAAGAGCGCGCAGGCGGUAUGACAAGUCAGAUGUGAAAAGAGCCGGCUUAACCGGCAAGGGUCAUUUGAAACUGUCAGACUAGAGUGCAGCAGAGGAUAGUGGAAUUCCCGGUGUAGUGGUGAAAUGCGUAGAUAUCGGGGAGGAACACCAGUGGCGAAGGC